RNAcentral lists this ribosomal RNA (433 nucleotides) under uncultured bacterium. RNAcentral's name for it is "partial 16S ribosomal RNA". It matches the Rfam family "Bacterial small subunit ribosomal RNA", at positions 29 to 507 of the family's 1533-position model. The record is from RNAcentral.
AACGAACGCUGGCGGCAUGCCUAACACAUGCCAGUCGAACGAGACCUUCGGGUCUAGUGGCGCACGGGUGCGUAACGCGUGGGAACCUGCCCUUAGGUUCGGAAUAACUCCCCGAAAGGGGUGCUAAUACCGGAUAAUGUCUUCGGACCAAAGAUUUAUCGCCUUUGGAUGGGCCCGCGUUGGAUUAGCUAGUUGGUAGGGUAAAAGCCUACCAAGGCGACGACCCAUAGCUGGUCUGAGAGGAUGAUCAGCCACACUGGGACUGAGACACGGCCCAGACUCCUACGGGAGGCAGCAGUGGGGAAUAUUGGACAAUGGGCGAAAGCCUGAUCCAGCAAUGCCGCGUGAGUGAUGAAGGCCUUAGGGUUGUAAAGCUCUUUUACCCGGGAUGAUAAUGACAGUACCGGGAGAAUAAGCUCCGGCUAACUCCGUG